CGUGCAGGUGGUUCGUUAAGUCUGGCGUGAAAGCCUCCGGGCUCAACCUGGGAACUGCAUUCAAAACUGACAAGCUAGAGUAUGGUAGAGGGUGGUGGAAUUUCCUGUGUAGCGGUGAAAUGCGUAGAUAUAGGAAGGAACACCAGUGGCGAAGGCGACCACCUGGACUGAUACUGACACUGAGGUGCGAAAGCGUGGGGAGCAAACAGGAUUAGAUACCCCCGUA
This 226-nucleotide ribosomal RNA is filed under the name uncultured Pseudomonas sp. RNAcentral describes it as "partial 16S ribosomal RNA". It matches the Rfam family "Bacterial small subunit ribosomal RNA", at positions 568 to 792 of the family's 1533-position model. The record is from RNAcentral. Lineage: Bacteria; Pseudomonadati; Pseudomonadota; Gammaproteobacteria; Pseudomonadales; Pseudomonadaceae.